RNAcentral lists this ribosomal RNA (468 nucleotides) under uncultured bacterium. RNAcentral describes it as "partial 16S ribosomal RNA". It matches the Rfam family "Bacterial small subunit ribosomal RNA", at positions 28 to 507 of the family's 1533-position model. The record is from RNAcentral.
GACGAACGCUGGCGGCGUGCUUAACACAUGCAAGUCGAACGGAAAGGCCCUGCUUUUGUGGGGUGCUCGAGUGGCGAACGGGUGAGUAACACGUGAGUAACCUGCCCUUGACUUUGGGAUAACUUCAGGAAACUGGGGCUAAUACCGGAUAGGAGCUCCUGCUGCAUGGUGGGGGUUGGAUAGUUUCGGCGGUUGGGGAUGGACUCGCGGCUUAUCAGCUUGUUGGUGGGGUAGUGGCUUACCAAGGCUUUGACGGGUAGCCGGCCUGAGAGGGUGACCGGCCACAUUGGGACUGAGAUACGGCCCAGACUCCUACGGGAGGCAGAAGUGGGGAAUAUUGCACAAUGGGCGGAAGGCUGAUGCAGCAACGCCGCGUGCGGGAUGACGGCCUUCGGGUUGUAAACCGCUGUCGCCUGUGACGAAGCGUGAGUGACGGUAAUGGGUAAAGAAGCACCGGCUAACUACGUG